UACGGAGGAUGCGAGCGUUAUCCGGAUUUAUUGGGUUUAAAGGGAGCGUAGACGGGAUGUUAAGUCAGCUGUGAAAGUUUGGGGCUCAACCUUAAAAUUGCAGUUGAAACUGGCAUUCUUGAGUGCGGUAGAGGCAGGCGGAAUUCGUGGUGUAGCGGUGAAAUGCUUAGAUAUCACGAAGAACUCCAAUUGCGAAGGCAGCUUGCUGGAGCGUAACUGACGUUGAUGCUCGAAAGUGUGGGUAUCAAACAGG
Molecule: ribosomal RNA, 253 nt
Filed under: Bacteroides caecigallinarum
Lineage: Bacteria; Pseudomonadati; Bacteroidota; Bacteroidia; Bacteroidales; Bacteroidaceae
Description: partial 16S ribosomal RNA
Rfam family: Bacterial small subunit ribosomal RNA
Source: RNAcentral